RNAcentral lists this long non-coding RNA (1540 nucleotides) under Equus caballus (horse). RNAcentral describes it as "lncRNA (ENSECAG00000051581.1)". The record is from RNAcentral. Lineage: Eukaryota; Metazoa; Chordata; Mammalia; Perissodactyla; Equidae.
GGAGGCCAAGAAGUCCUAUGAUCUGCCCUCUGCAAGCUGGAGAACCGGAAAAGCCAGUAGCAUCAUUCAGUCUGAAUGAGAAGGUCUGAGAAUCGGGCCCGAUGGUCUAAGUCCCUAUUUGAGUUUGAAAGCCUGAGGUCCAGGAGCACCAGUAUCCAAGGGCAGAAGAUAAACGUCUCAGCUGAAGCAAAGAGAGCAAAUUUGCCCUUCCUCCACCUUUUUCUUCUAUUCAUGCCCUCAACAGACUGGAUAAUGCCCACCUUCUCUGUGAUGAUUUUUAUCAGCAGAAAAAAGAAAGAAAGAAAAGACUUUAAAGUUAAAAGGAGAAUUUGGAAUUUGAGGAAGAACUCUAACCAUAAGAUCAAUUCUACAAGCAGAGUGGCAAAGCACUGGGCAAAUUGUUAUGAAUCCUCAGUUCCAGGACUGCAUCUUGUUUGCGCAUUUCAGGGAAUUAUUGGGAUUGAUGUAGAGAUUGUAUUAUAUAUAAUACCUAAAGCUUUCCUAUUGUUUUUAGUGGUUUAGGUAUAUAGAAAGGAUAUUUUUAUUAAUAAGCCAUGCUCAGCAUUUCUGUCUUCUAUUUUUAUGUUUAAUUAUUUAUAUUCUGUCUCAUUCCAAAAACACAUUUAAGGUGACUUGCAGGGAUCUAGAAACUAUAUUACAAUAAAUUGAAUGCAGAUUAGAAAGGCAGAAGAAAGUCAAGGUCUAAGGUCCUAAACUCCAGCCAUGAGGGAAGAUAAUGUGAAAAACAUUCGUAUCCUGUCUUCUUCCUAGAGGUGGACUACACAUUUGCUUUUAAAUGAUACAAAUUCCAGUCAAAAAAGAAAACUGAGGGGCCGGCCUGGUGAUACAGCAGUUAAGUUCACACUUUUGGCUUCGGCGGCCUGGGGUUCACCGGUUCGAAUCCUGGGUGUGGACCUGCCCACCGCUUGUCUGGCAGUGCUGUGGCAGGUGUUCCACAUAAAGUAGAGGAGGACGGGCACAGAUGUUGGCUCAGGGCUGGUCUUCCUCAAAAAUAAAACGAGAAAAGAAAACUGAAUCCUUAAAGAUUCAAAUAUCUUUAAGAGAAAAUGAUCCCCAUAUUUCAGGAGAAAUACAAAUGCUCCUGACUUGAAGGACAUUUUUUGUGAGGUGAGGUUUUUCAGCAGCUUUUAGUUUUAUUGCUAUUGUUAAUGGGAUAUGUUCCUUAAUUAUGCUUUCAGAUUUUUUCUGAAAAUAAAAAUGCAAUUGGUUUUUAUAUGAUUCAAUAAGAUUUUUACAUUUUAGUGGCAUCUGUCCAAGAUAUAUGAUUUUAUUAUUUUUAAAUAAAGAUAAUUUUAUUUCCAUUUUACCAAUGAUAUACAUCACAUAUUAUUUGUAUCUAAUUGCCUUUGCUAGUUCUUCUAGAACAAUACUAAAUAUUAAUGGAAAAGAGGGGCAGUUUUGCCUCACUUUUUACUAUACCAGUGGUUUUUUUUUCCAUAUUUUAAGCAUGAUUCUAGAUUUGUCUUUGUGUGUAGAUAUUUAUGCAAAAUACAAUAUCUAUCUAUUCUUAUUUGUUAAU